This 220-nucleotide ribosomal RNA is filed under the name uncultured bacterium. RNAcentral describes it as "partial 16S ribosomal RNA". It matches the Rfam family "Bacterial small subunit ribosomal RNA", at positions 524 to 738 of the family's 1533-position model. The record is from RNAcentral.
UACGGAGGGUGCGAGCGUUAAUCGGAAUUACUGGGCGUAAAGAGCACGUAGGUGGUUUGGUAAGUCGGAUGUGAAAGCCCCGGGCUUAACCUGGGAAUUGCAUUCGAAACUGCCUCACUAGAGUCUAGCAGAGGGAUGCGGAAUUCCGGGUAGUAGGCGGUGAAAUGCGUAGAAGAUCCGGAGGAACAUCAGGUGGCGAAGGCGGCAUCCGUGGGCUCAA